AUGGGGAGGGAAAUUAGAGUACUGAAGUAACCGAUUCCAUACUGACAAGAAAAGCCACUAUCGAGAAUAAAGGUACCCGUACCGCAAACCGACACAGGUAGGCGAGGAGAGAAUCCUAAGACGAGCGGGAGAAGCGUUGUUAAGGAACUCGGCAAAUUAACCCCGUAAGUUCGCGAGAAGGGGUGCCACAGCAAUGUGGCCGCAGUGAAUAGGCCCAAGCAACUGUUUAUCAAAAACACAGGUCUCUGCUAAAUCGAAAGAUGACGUAUAGGGGCUGACGCCUGCCCGGUGCUGGAAGGUUACGGGAAUCUGUUAGCGCAAGCGAAGCAGUGAACUUAAGCCCCAGUAAACGGCGGCCGUAACUAUAACGGUCCUAAGGUAGCGAAAUUCCUUGUCAGGUAAGUUCUGACCCGCACGAAUGGCGUAAUGACUUGGGCACUGUCUCAACAACGCACCCGGUGAAAUUGUAGUACUUGUGAAGAUGCAAGUUACCCGCGACUAGACGGAAAGACCCCAUGGAGCUUUACUGUAGCCUGAUACUGGGUUUCGGUAUUCUUUGUACAGGAUAGGUGGGAGGCUUUGAAGCCAGGGCGCCAGCCUUGGUGGAGCCAAUGUUGGGAUACCACUCUAAGAAUACUGGAGCUCUAACCUGUGACCAUAAGCUGGUCAAGGAACACUGUCAGGUGGGCAGUUUGACUGGGGCGGUCGCCUCCCAAAGAGCAACGGAGGCGUCCAAAGGUUACCUCAGCGCGGUUGGAAAUCGCGCAACGAGUGCAAAGGCAUAAGGUAGCUUAACUGCGAGACAUACAGGUCGAGCAGAUACGAAAGUAGGGCUUAGUGAUCCGGUGGUAUGAAAGUGGAAUUGCCAUCGCUCAACGGAUAAAAGCUACCCUGGGAUAACAGGCUUAUCUCCCCCAAGAGUCCAUAUCGACGGGGAGGUUUGGCACCUGAUGUCGGCUCAUCGCAUCCUGGAGCUGAAGUAGGUUCCAGGGUUUGGCUGUUCGCCAAUUAAAGCGGUACGCGAGCUGGGUUCAGAACGUCGUGAGACAGUUCGGUCCCUAUCUGUCGCGGGCGCAGGAUAUUUGAAGGGAUCUGUCCUUAGUACGAGAGGACCGGGAUGGACGAACCUCUAGUGCACCAGUUGUCAUACCAAUGGCAUAGCUGGGUAGCCAAGUUCGGAAGGGAUAAACGCUGAAAGCAUCUAAGCGAUAAACCCACCCUAAGAUGAGAUAUC
RNAcentral lists this ribosomal RNA (1234 nucleotides) under metagenome. Its description in RNAcentral is "bacterial LSU rRNA". It matches the Rfam family "Bacterial large subunit ribosomal RNA", at positions 1561 to 2813 of the family's 2925-position model. The record is from RNAcentral.